This 460-nucleotide ribosomal RNA is filed under the name Funneliformis coronatus. RNAcentral describes it as "LSU rRNA". It matches the Rfam family "Eukaryotic large subunit ribosomal RNA", at positions 358 to 668 of the family's 3401-position model. Lineage: Eukaryota; Fungi; Glomeromycota; Glomeromycetes; Glomerales; Glomeraceae. The record is from RNAcentral.
GGAAAGAUGAAAAGAACUUUGAAAAGAGAGUUAAACAGUACGUGAAAUUGUUGAAAGGGAAACGAUUGAAGUCAGUCAUACCAACGGGAAAUCAACCUUUUGAGCUUUGUCUCGUGGGUUCGAAGAGUUUAAACGCCUUCGGGUUCGCGAGAUUGGGAUCUUCUGGUGUACUUUCUCGUACGGUUAGUCAACAUCGGUUUUGAAUGUCAUAAAAUGACUGGAGGAAUGUGGCUUCGAUCUCGUAUCGAAGUGUUAUAGCCUUUGGUAGUUGUGAUGUUUGAGACCGAGGAUCGUAACGGAUACCCUUUAAGGGCUAUUCGUCUGAUCUCCGAUACGUUGCCUUGACGUUGAAAGCUUGCUUAUGAUGUUAGGGUAUUACGGUCAAAAGGUUAGAACGGAUUAAAUUCGUUAAGGAUGUUGACGUAAUGACUUUAAACGACCCGUCUUGAAACACGGACCA